UACACACAGUGAGGCAAUAAUGGCCACGAUUUAUUGCUAAGAUUUAACAGUGGAUUUGGCUCAGCAUGUGACUAUAUCAGAAAGGAAUUCCCAUGGCCUAUAGUGAAUGAUAACUUGAUGGUAAGUUCCCUGCAGUCUGGGAGCUUUUACUAUUCCUUUUUGCAUCCCCAGCACCUGGGACAUUGUACAUACAUGGCAAACUGAAAUAAAAUGAAUUAAUGCAGGAGUGACUAUUAGAAUUGAAUAAAUGAUGGGAAUUAACUAAAGUCUUUCAGUUAGAGAAAUUCCCAAUAUUUAUCUUUCUAGUUCCUUCAAUAUGUAACUAAGGUUUCAUUAAAGCAACUUCAAAUCUGAACCACAUAAAAGCAAAGGAUACACGUACUAACAAGAUUUACCAUUUCGCUUAGGUCAUAAUGGUUUAUUUAUAUAACUAUUCUCAAAUGGAGCUCUUUUAAAUGUCAAAAGGGUGCAGAAGACCCUCCAACAACUAGCUUUGGAAAUGAAAGUGAACACGGUCCAGUUGCUCGUUAUGCUGUACCCUCUGAUACGUUAAUUUUCCAAGUGAAGACAACAGCCAUUAAACAAGACCUUGUAUGUUGAGUGCCAAUAUAGGUACAAAUUACCAAUUAACCAAAUGCUGAUAGACAUUAGCUGAACAAUAAAUAUUACAAACCACAAUUACAAACUAGAAGUCACUUU
Molecule: long non-coding RNA, 699 nt
Organism: Phyllostomus discolor (pale spear-nosed bat)
Lineage: Eukaryota; Metazoa; Chordata; Mammalia; Chiroptera; Phyllostomidae
Exons: 4
Source: RefSeq, a predicted model, not a curated record